This 342-nucleotide ribosomal RNA is filed under the name uncultured soil bacterium. RNAcentral's name for it is "bacterial SSU rRNA". It matches the Rfam family "Bacterial small subunit ribosomal RNA", at positions 26 to 364 of the family's 1533-position model. The record is from RNAcentral.
AGAGUGAACGCUGGCGGCAGGCCUAACACAUGCAAGUCGAACGGCAGCACAGGGGAGCUUGCUCCCUGGGUGGCGAGUGGCGGACGGGUGAGGAAAACGUCGGAAUCUGCCUAUUUGUGGGGGAUAACGUAGGGAAACUUACGCUAAUACCGCAUACGACCUACGGGUGAAAGCGGAGGACCUUCGGGCUUCGCGCAGAUAGAUGAGCCGACGUCGGAUUAGCUAGUUGGCGGGGUAAAGGCCCACCAAGGCGACGAUCCGUAGCUGGUCUGAGAGGAUGAUCAGCCACACUGGAACUGAGACACGGUCCAGACUCCUACGGGAGGCAGCAGUGGGGAAUAG